RNAcentral lists this ribosomal RNA (341 nucleotides) under Salmonella enterica subsp. enterica serovar Infantis. RNAcentral describes it as "bacterial SSU rRNA". Lineage: Bacteria; Pseudomonadati; Pseudomonadota; Gammaproteobacteria; Enterobacterales; Enterobacteriaceae. The record is from RNAcentral.
AAAUUGAAGAGUUUGAUCAUGGCUCAGAUUGAACGCUGGCGGCAGGCCUAACACAUGCAAGUCGAACGGUAACAGGAAGCAGCUUGCUGCUUYGCUGACGAGUGGCGGACGGGUGAGUAAUGUCUGGGAAACUGCCUGAUGGAGGGGGAUAACUACUGGAAACGGUGGCUAAUACCGCAUAACGUCGCAAGACCAAAGAGGGGGACCUUCGGGCCUCUUGCCAUCAGAUGUGCCCAGAUGGGAUUAGCUWGUUGGUGAGGUAACGGCUCACCAAGGCGACGAUCCCUAGCUGGUCUGAGAGGAUGACCAGCCACACUGGAACUGAGACACGGUCCAGACUC